This 253-nucleotide ribosomal RNA is filed under the name uncultured bacterium. RNAcentral's name for it is "partial 16S ribosomal RNA". It matches the Rfam family "Bacterial small subunit ribosomal RNA", at positions 524 to 776 of the family's 1533-position model. The record is from RNAcentral.
UACGUAGGGAGCAAGCGUUAUCCGGAAUUAUUGGGCGUAAAGCGCGCGCAGGCGGUUUCUUAAGUCUGAUGUGAAAGCCCACGGCUCAACCGUGGAGGGUCAUUGGAAACUGGGGAACUUGAGUGCAGAAGAGAAAAGCGGAAUUCCACGUGUAGCGGUGAAAUGCGUAGAGAUGUGGAGGAACACCAGUGGCGAAGGCGGCUUUUUGGUCUGUAACUGACGCUGAGGCGCGAAAGCGUGGGGAGCAAACAGG